This 67-nucleotide transfer RNA is filed under the name Partulina redfieldi. RNAcentral describes it as "tRNA-Gln". Lineage: Eukaryota; Metazoa; Mollusca; Gastropoda; Stylommatophora; Achatinellidae. The record is from RNAcentral.
UUCUUAAAGGUGUGUUUUGCACAGGAAUAUUUGAAGUUCAAGGAAUAUAAUCUAAUUAAUUAAGAAA